Molecule: long non-coding RNA, 982 nt
Organism: Cyprinus carpio (common carp)
Lineage: Eukaryota; Metazoa; Chordata; Actinopteri; Cypriniformes; Cyprinidae
Exons: 3
Source: RefSeq, a predicted model, not a curated record
UUUUCGGAAUGAGAACAGAAUCCACACAUUGCCACACACUGGUGGCAGAGGAAAGAUAUUUAGUAUUGAACAGGAGUCUGCCAUUGUAGAUAUGGUAGUGGCAAACAAUGCAAUCAGACUGCGUGAAAUCCAGGCAGCAGUAACUGCAGAUCAGGGAGCAUUUAGAAAUAUAAACAGUGUGAGUUUGGCAACUAUAGAUCGAGUCCUUAAACGAAACCAUGUCAGAAUGAAGCAGCUGUACAGAGUUCCAUUUCAAAGAAACUCUGACAUCGUAAAGGAGGCACGAUUCCAAGAAUAAUGGAGCUUGAAGCUGAAGGGGCACAUCACAAAUUCAUUUUUGUGGAUGAAGCCGGCUUCAACCUCUGUAAAGUGAGGCGACGCGGGAGGAACAUCAUUGGGCAGAGGGCCACGGUCACAGUGCCAGGUCAGAGGAGUGCCAAUAUCACCAUGUGUGCUGCCAUCUCUAAUGAUGGAGUCCUUUGCCACACACCAACUAUUGGUCCAUACAAUACAGAACGCCUCAUCACAUUUCUUGAUGCAUUGAAAGAAUUACUGAUUCCACCCGAAGAGAGAGGGCUGCUGAGGCCUGGCAUGACUCUGUAUGUCAAAAUUUGGGACAAUGUGCCUUUCCACCACUCUCGCCUUGUGAAUGAAUUGUUUUGCCUCGUAUUAUGAUGCAAUUCCUCUCUGCAUACUCGCCUUUUCUGAACCCAAUCGAGGAGUUCUUCUCUGCUUGGAGGUGGAAGGUGUAUGAUCACCGGCCAUAUGAGCAGAUGCCCCAUCUCUUUUUUUUUUUUUUUUUUAAAGGUAUUUCCACCCAUAAGUUUCCUUUGGUAGCUUUUUUUCCAGUUUCCAUUUGAGUUUGUAAAGUAUCAUAUUUCAUAUUGAUGGCUGUAUUUUGUUGUCCAUUGUGUAAUGAUUGAUUGAAAGAAUAAAUUAAUUUGACCACAAGUUGUGGUGUUUGAUGGAAAUAUUUGCUUAU